This 245-nucleotide ribosomal RNA is filed under the name uncultured bacterium. Its description in RNAcentral is "partial 16S ribosomal RNA". It matches the Rfam family "Bacterial small subunit ribosomal RNA", at positions 524 to 768 of the family's 1533-position model. The record is from RNAcentral.
GACGAAGGGGGCUAGCGUUGUUCGGAUUUACUGGGCGUAAAGCGCGCGUAGAUGGCUUUUUAAGUGAGUGGUGAAAUCCCGGAGCUCAACUCCGGAAUUGCCUUUCAUACUGAAAAGCUUGAGCACAAAAGAGGAUAGCGGAAUUUCCAGUGUAGCAGUGAAAUGCGUAGAUAUUGGAAGGAACACCAGUGGCGAAAGCGGCUAUCUGGUUUGUCGCUGACAUUGAGGCGCGAAAGCGUGGGGAG